Molecule: ribosomal RNA, 460 nt
Filed under: uncultured bacterium
Lineage: Bacteria
Description: partial 16S ribosomal RNA
Rfam family: Bacterial small subunit ribosomal RNA
Source: RNAcentral
CCUACGGGAGGCAGCAGUGAGGAAUAUUGGUCAAUGGACGCAAGUCUGAACCAGCCAUGCCGCGUGCAGGAAGACGGCUCUAUGAGUUGUAAACUGCUUUUGUACGAGGGUAAACGCAGAUACGCGUAUCUGUCUGAAAGUAUCGUACGAAUAAGGAUCGGCUAACUCCGUGCCAGCAGCCGCGGUAAUACGGAGGAUUCAAGCGUUAUCCGGAUUUAUUGGGUUUAAAGGGUGCGUAGGCGGUUGGAUAAGUUAGAGGUGAAAUCCCGGGGCUCAACUUCGGAAUUGCCUCUGAUACUGUCCGGCUAGAGAGUAGUUGCGGUAGGCGGAAUGUAUGGUGUAGCGGUGAAAUGCUUAGAGAUCAUACAGAACACCGAUUGCGAAGGCAGCUUACCAAGCUACUACUGACGUUGAGGCACGAAAGCGUGGGGAGCAAACAGGAUUAGAUACCCUGGUAGUC